GCCGGUGAUAAGCCGGAGAAGUGGGGAUGACGUCAAGUCCUCAUGGCCCUUACAGGCUGGGCUACACACGUGCUACAAUGGCAUCUACAGUGGGCAGCUAUUCCGCAAGGAUGCGCUAAUCUCCAAAAGAUGUCUCAGUUCGGAUUGUCCUCUGCAACUCGAGGGCAUGAAGGCGGAAUCGCUAGUAAUCGCGGAUCAGCAUGCCGCGGUGAAUACGUUCCCAGGCCUU
RNAcentral lists this ribosomal RNA (229 nucleotides) under uncultured Porphyrobacter sp. RNAcentral describes it as "partial 16S ribosomal RNA". It matches the Rfam family "Bacterial small subunit ribosomal RNA", at positions 1151 to 1382 of the family's 1533-position model. The record is from RNAcentral. Lineage: Bacteria; Pseudomonadati; Pseudomonadota; Alphaproteobacteria; Sphingomonadales; Erythrobacteraceae.